AUCCCUGACCGCGUAGUGAAAGUACGUUUCACCGUCGGGUGACUAGGGAGACAGGUGGUGCAUGGUUGUCGUCAGCUCGUGUCGUGAGAUGUUGGGUUAAGUCCCGCAACGAGCGCAACCCCUACGUUUAGUUGCUAACGCGUGAAGGCGAGCACUCUAGACGAACUGCCGUUGACAAAACGGAGGAAGGUGGGAUGACGUCAAAUCAUCAUGCCCCUUAUGUUCUGGGCUACACACGUGCUACAAUGGCCGGUACAGACGGACGCAAAGCCGCGAGGUGGAGCAAAUCCUAAAAAGCCGGUCUCAGUUCGGAUUGCAGGCUGCAAUUCGCCUGCAUGAAGUCGGAAUCGCUAGUAAUCGCAGGUCAGCAUACUGCGGUGAAUACGUUCCCGGGCCUU
Molecule: ribosomal RNA, 398 nt
Filed under: uncultured Pelotomaculum sp.
Lineage: Bacteria; Bacillati; Bacillota; Clostridia; Eubacteriales; Desulfotomaculaceae
Description: bacterial SSU rRNA
Rfam family: Bacterial small subunit ribosomal RNA
Source: RNAcentral